GACGAACGCUGGCGGCGUGCCUAAUACAUGCAAGUUGAGCGCUGAAGGUUGGUACUUGUACCGACUGGAUGAGCAGCGAACGGGUGAGUAACGCGUGGGGAAUCUGCCUUUGAGCGGGGGACAACAUUUGGAAACGAAUGCUAAUACCGCAUAAAAACUUUAAACACAAGUUUUAAGUUUGAAAGAUGCAAUUGCAUCACUCAAGGAUGAUCCCGCGUUGUAUUAGCUAGUUGGUGAGGUAAAGGCUCACCAAGGCGAUGAUACAUAGCCGACCUGAGAGGGUGAUCGGCCACAUUGGGACUGAGACACGGCCCAAACUCCUACGGGAGGCAGCAGUAGGGAAUCUUCGGCAAUGGACGAAAGUCUGACCGAGCAACGCCGCGUGAGUGAAGAAGGUUUUCGGAUCGUAAAACUCUGUUGGUAGAGAAGAACGUUGGUGAGAGUGGAAAGCUCAUCAAGUGACGGUAACUACCCAGAAAGGGACGGCUAACUACGU
RNAcentral lists this ribosomal RNA (496 nucleotides) under uncultured bacterium. Its description in RNAcentral is "partial 16S ribosomal RNA". It matches the Rfam family "Bacterial small subunit ribosomal RNA", at positions 28 to 506 of the family's 1533-position model. The record is from RNAcentral.